Long non-coding RNA from Mustela lutreola (European mink), 655 nucleotides. RefSeq lists it as uncharacterized. Lineage: Eukaryota; Metazoa; Chordata; Mammalia; Carnivora; Mustelidae. The transcript has 5 exons. The record is from RefSeq and is a predicted model, not a curated record.
AGGGCGCGGGACUGGCGCCCCCAGGAACCGGCUCCCCACCCCCACCCGGCCCCGCCGCAGCUGCUCCGCCCGCCCUUCACGCCCACGGGAGAAGAAUGAGGCACCAACAAGUCAGCUGUAAAAGAGAGGGAGCAGGGGACAACAGCUGGAAGGACCAUCUCCCCGAACAACUCCUCAGUCCUGUAUUUAUUAGAUACAAGAUAACAACCAACAAAGGAGAAGAACACUAUACAUUAGUCAAAGGUCUGUAAAAAACCAAAAAUACGUCAUUUAACUAAUGAAAGGGUAAAACAAGAAGGAAGAAAAGGGCCUGCUGCUGUGAAGGUACAAGAGUAACAGUCCAGCACAAGAACAAGACAGCCCUGGAGGGUGAGAAAAAAUGAGAUAGAAGCCCAAGAUGACAUCCAGAUGGCCCUGCUCCAGUUUUAGUUGGGAAGUAUGAAUUGCAGAAGCUCCUGGAUUUUGUGCGAGAGUGGAUUCCUGGACCCCAAGCCAAGGGCCAAUUGCCAGAGGCCAGGACCCAGCCCCUUCGGGGACCACACUGGAAUCUCCUCUGAUUAGAGCUACUGCCACAUUUCCCGCUUGCUGCUCCCAGAAGUGCUGUCUGCGGCUCUCCCCACCAGAGGCACCUUCACCGCCGCACCUGUCCUCCACC